AUGAAUGAGGGGAAAGAUAAAAUUACCUGGACCCUCACUGUUGAUAACAAAUUUUCUGUGAGGUCUCUGUAUAAGAAACUGAUUACACUAGGGUUGAAAUUUCCACAAAAGUAUCUAUGGAAAAUCAAAGUUCCUGGGAAAAUAAAAGUAUUUUUGUGGCUAGUAAAUAAGAAGAGUAUUUUGACUAGGGAUGUACUGCUCAAAAAAGGGUGGAAAGGGGGGAAAGGAUGUGUGUUCUGUGGACAAGAUGAAUCAAUUGAUCAUCUGUUGUUCACCUGCUCUGCGGCUUCCUUGCUUUGGAGCUUGGUCAGAUGUGUGUGUGGUUUAAAAACCAUUCCUUUUAAUGUUAAAGAAUGUUUUGGGAGGUGGACAAAAAAAUUUAACAAAGAAGAUAAGAAAAUGGUGAUGGUUGGGGUUUCCGCAUUAUUCUGGGCGAUCUGA
This 441-nucleotide ribosomal RNA is filed under the name Triticum aestivum (bread wheat). RNAcentral describes it as "partial small subunit ribosomal RNA". The record is from RNAcentral. Lineage: Eukaryota; Viridiplantae; Streptophyta; Magnoliopsida; Poales; Poaceae.